UAGGGAAUCUUCCACAAUGGGCGAAAGCCUGAUGGAGCAACGCCGCGUGUGUGAUGAAGGCUUUCGGGUCGUAAAGCACUGUUGUAUGGGAAGAACAGCUAGAAUAGGAAAUGAUUUUAGUUUGACGGUACCAUACCAGAAAGGGACGGCUAAAUACGUGCCAGCAGCCGCGGUAAUACGUAUGUCCCGAGCGUUAUCCGGAUUUAUUGGGCGUAAAGGGAACGCAGGCGGUCUUUUAAGUCUGAUGUGAAAGCCUUCGGCUUAACCGAAGUCGUGCAUUGGAAACUGGGAGACUUGAGUGCAGAAGAGGAGAGUGGAACUCCAUGUGUAGCGGUGAAAUGCGUAGAUAUAUGGAAGAACACCAGUGGCGAAAGCGGCUCUCUGGUCUGUAACUGACGCUGAGGUUCGAAAGCGUGGGUAGCAAACAGGAUUAGAUACCCUGGUAGUCCACGCUGUAAACGAUGAAUGCUAAGUGUUGGAGGGUUUCCGCCCUUCAGUGCUGCAGCUAACGCAUUAAGCAUUCCGCCUGGGGAGUACGACCGCAAGGUUG
RNAcentral lists this ribosomal RNA (550 nucleotides) under uncultured bacterium. RNAcentral's name for it is "bacterial SSU rRNA". It matches the Rfam family "Bacterial small subunit ribosomal RNA", at positions 355 to 896 of the family's 1533-position model. The record is from RNAcentral.